Molecule: ribosomal RNA, 1155 nt
Filed under: seawater metagenome
Description: bacterial LSU rRNA
Rfam family: Bacterial large subunit ribosomal RNA
Source: RNAcentral
CUGGAGGUAUCAGAAGUGCGAAUGCUGACAUGAGUAACGAUAAGGGGAGUGAAAAACUCCCCCGCCGAAAGACCAAGGUUUCCUGUCCCAUGUUAAUCAGGGCAGGGUAAGUCGGCCCCUAAGGCGAGGCGGAAACGCGUAGUCGAUGGGAAACAGAUUAAUAUUUCUGUACUUCUAUAUAUUGCGAAGGAGGGACGGAGUAGGCUAGGUGAGCACGGCGUUGGUAGUCCGUGUGAAAGUAUGUAGGCGGUUGACUUAGGUAAAUCCGGGUCUUCAUUAACGCUGAGAUACGAGACGAGUGUCCAAGGACAUGAAGUCAUUGAUGCCAUGCUUCCAGGAAAAGCUUCUAAGCUUCAGAUAUAUAGGAACCGUACCCCAAACCGACACAGGUGGUUAGGUAGAGAAUACUAAGGCGCUUGAGAGAACUCGGGUGAAGGAACUAGGCAAAAUAGUACCGUAACUUCGGGAGAAGGUACGCUCUCUAAUGUGAAUGACUUGCUCAGUAAGCAUCGGAGAGUCGAAGUAACCAGGUGGCUGGAACUGUUUAUUAAAAACACAGCACUGUGCAAAAUCGAAAGAUGACGUAUACGGUGUGACGCCUGCCCGGUGCCGGAAGGUUAAUUGAUUGGGUUAGCUCUGCGAAGCUCAUGAUCGAAGCCCCGGUAAACGGCGGCCGUAACUAUAACGGUCCUAAGGUAGCGAAAUUCCUUGUCGGGUAAGUUCCGACCUGCACGAAUGGCGUAAUCAUGGCCACACUGUCUCCACCCGAGACUCAGUGAAAUUGAAAUUGCGGUUAAGAUGCCGUAUACCCGCGGCUAGACGGAAAGACCCCGUGAACCUUUACUAUAGCUUGACAGUGAACAUUGCUCCUACAUGUGUAGGAUAGGUGGGAGGCUUUGAAACUUUGUCGCCAGAUGAAGUGGAGCCAACCUUGAAAUACCACCCUUGUAUGCGUGAUGUUCUAACCUAGGGCCCUAAUCGGGCUUGGGGACACUGUCUGGUGGGUAGUUUGACUGGGGCGGUCUCCUCCUAAAGAGUAACGGAGGAGCACGAAGGUUGGCUAAGUACGGUCGGACAUCGUACGGUUAGUGCAAUGGCAUAAGCCAGCUUAACUGCGAGACAGACACGUCGAGCAGGUACGAAAGUAGGUCAUAG